UCAUUAUUUUUUCUAACUCCGCACUCUGAGCGAAAGUUCAGAAUCUGAAGUUCAACCAUUUCUGAAAUAUGACCAAAUUGGAAACCUGGAGAGAGUUCUAUUCAGCUGGGGAGAGAAAUACAUAAACCCCCACAUGAAUGACUUGGAGUGUCCUUUCACUUUCCCCAAACAGAAAGCCAUUUGCUAUGGAGAAGGCCGAAUGUUAUUCUGACAGAGCGCGGCUCUCCCCAGGCCAGACACGGGGCCAGCGAACG
This is a long non-coding RNA of Lontra canadensis (Northern American river otter), 254 nucleotides long. RefSeq lists it as uncharacterized. NCBI's taxonomy places the organism in Eukaryota, Metazoa, Chordata, Mammalia, Carnivora, Mustelidae. The record is from RefSeq and is a predicted model, not a curated record. The transcript is spliced from 3 exons.